GCCGCUGUAGCUCAGUAGGUAGAGCGCAUCCUUGGUAAGGAUGAGGUCUCGGGUCCGAAUCCCGACAGUGGCUCCA
RNAcentral lists this transfer RNA (76 nucleotides) under Bacillota bacterium. Its description in RNAcentral is "tRNA-Thr". It matches the Rfam family "tRNA". Rfam says of the family: Transfer RNA (tRNA) molecules are approximately 80 nucleotides in length. The record is from RNAcentral. Lineage: Bacteria; Bacillati; Bacillota. RNAcentral also lists the same sequence under 1 other name.